RNAcentral lists this ribosomal RNA (436 nucleotides) under Clostridioides difficile. RNAcentral's name for it is "partial 23S ribosomal RNA". It matches the Rfam family "Bacterial large subunit ribosomal RNA", at positions 2487 to 2925 of the family's 2925-position model. Lineage: Bacteria; Bacillati; Bacillota; Clostridia; Peptostreptococcales; Peptostreptococcaceae. The record is from RNAcentral.
CUCCCCCAAGAGUCCACAUCGACGGGGAGGUUUGGCACCUCGAUGUCGGCUCAUCACAUCCUGGGGCUGUAGUAGGUCCCAAGGGUUGGGCUGUUCGCCCAUUAAAGUGGUACGCGAGCUGGGUUCAGAACGUCGUGAGACAGUUCGGUCCCUAUCCGUCGCAGGCGUAGGAAAUUUGAGAAGACCUGUCCUUAGUACGAGAGGACCGGGAUGGACGUACCUCUGGUGUACCAGUUGUCCUGCCAAGGGCAUGGCUGGGUAGCUAUGUACGGAAUGGAUAAGCGCUGAAAGCAUCUAAGCGCGAAGCCAACUUCAAGAUAAGAUUUCCCACCGCAAGGGUAAGACCCCAGAAAGACUAUCUGGUUGAUAGGUCGAAGGUGUAAGUGCAGCAAUGUAUUUAGCUUAUCGAUACUAAUAGGUCGAGGACUUGACCAAU